AGCAGCCGCGGUAAUUCCAGCUCCAAUAGCGUAUAUUAAAGUUGUUGCAGUUAAAAAACUCGUAGUUGAAUUUCGGGAUCAAGUCGUCGGUCGUGCCUCGGUACGCACUGGUGACAUUGGUUUCUCCCUUCUGAAGAACCUUGAUGUCAUUAAUUUGGUGUCUUGGGGAAUCAGGACUGUUACUUUGAAAAAAUUAGAGUGUUUAAAGCAAGCCCACGCUUGAAUACAUUAGCAUGGAAUAAUGAAAUAGGACGUUUGAUUCUAUUUUGUUGGUUUCUAGGAUCGACGUAAUGAUUAAUAGGGAUAGUUGGGGGCAUUAGUAUUCAAUUGUCAGAGGUGAAAUUCUUGGAUUUAUUGAGGACUAACUACUGCGAAAGCAUUUGCCAAGGAUGUUUUCAUUAAUCAAGAACGAAAGUUAGGGGAUCGAAGACGAUCAGAUACCGUCGUAGU
Molecule: ribosomal RNA, 450 nt
Filed under: uncultured Glomeromycotina
Lineage: Eukaryota; Fungi; Glomeromycota
Description: SSU rRNA
Rfam family: Eukaryotic small subunit ribosomal RNA
Source: RNAcentral